RNAcentral lists this ribosomal RNA (393 nucleotides) under uncultured bacterium. Its description in RNAcentral is "partial 16S ribosomal RNA". It matches the Rfam family "Bacterial small subunit ribosomal RNA", at positions 523 to 919 of the family's 1533-position model. The record is from RNAcentral.
ACACGUAGGGGCCUGACGUUGUUCGGAAUCAUUGGGCGUAAAGGGCGCGCAGGCGGCCGUCCAAGUCCGGUGUUAAAUGGUCGGGCUCAACCCGAUCAUGCGCUGGAAACUGGGCGGCUUGAGUCCCGUAGGGGAUGCCGGAAUUCCAGGUGUAGGGGUGAAAUCUGUAGAUAUCUGGAAGAACACCGAUGGCGAAGGCAGGCAUCUGGCCGGAGACUGACGCUGAGGCGCGAAGGCGCGGGGAGCGAACAGGUUUAGAUACCCUGGUAGUCCGCGCAGUAAACGAUGCGCACCAGGUGUCGGGCGGCAGCGCCCGGUACCGGAGCUAACGCGAUGAGUGCGCCGCCUGGGGAGUAUGCCCGUAAGGGUGAAACUCAAAGGAAUUGACGGGGG